GAGAAUAGAAAGUGAAUAUUUUCAAUUUGGCACUGAAGUGUCCUCCCCUCCUUUAUAAGAGGUGCAUGAGUGAAAGAAAUAUGACAUUUUGCUGUUAAGGAUAGUGAUCAUACAUCUUUUGCCGGUAAGGAUCCAGGCUACAGACCUUAUUGACACAAGACACUCCUGACCAAAGAAUUUGCUUCACUGGAGAGCUAAUCUUCAUAUCACCUGCCACACCGUACCUUUUUACCAUUAUGCAGGCUAUCUUGGAGCUCUUCCUCGUCUCUGUUUUUCUAACAGCAGGUACGGCUUUAGAAUGUGAAUAUUGCAUUGGUGUUGGCAUGACUUGUACUGGCAAGAAAGUGCCAUGUGAUGCUAGUGCUGAUACCUGUGCCACCAUGGUUACAGAAAUCACAAAAGGAAAUGGAUCAUUUGGCAAAUCAGUUGUAAAAAGCUGCAUGCCAAAAUCUGUCUGUACGACUGGACUGCCUGAUGUUCAGAUACCAGAUAUUGUUAUCGUUACAAGCGUUGAAUGUCAUAACAAUGCCCCACCAGCAGCAGUUUCCUUCUUUGUGUCUCUCUCUGGGCUCUUGCUGAUAAAGAUGCUCCUGUAGCAAACCAUUCCCAGCUACUCAGCACUGAAGAUGACUUCCAUGUCUUUAACUUGCCACAUAUUUCCCAGAGAGCACUGUCCUCACCUUUGAUUUCUUAAGUCAAAAUGUAUCAAAUAAACACAAAUGGAGAAAAAAAAUCAAA
Long non-coding RNA from Anolis carolinensis (green anole), 738 nucleotides. RefSeq annotates it as phospholipase A2 inhibitor NAI. The transcript has 4 exons. The record is from RefSeq and is a predicted model, not a curated record. NCBI's taxonomy places the organism in Eukaryota, Metazoa, Chordata, Lepidosauria, Squamata, Anolidae.